RNAcentral lists this ribosomal RNA (390 nucleotides) under uncultured bacterium. Its description in RNAcentral is "bacterial SSU rRNA". It matches the Rfam family "Bacterial small subunit ribosomal RNA", at positions 30 to 417 of the family's 1533-position model. The record is from RNAcentral.
AUUGAACGCUGGCGGCAUGCUUUACACAUGCAAGUCGAACGGCAGCACGGGGGCAACCCUGGUGGCGAGUGGCGAACGGGUGAGUAAUAUAUCGGAACGUACCCGGAAAUGGGGGAUAACGUAGCGAAAGUUACGCUAAUACCGCAUAUGCCCUAAGGGGGAAAGCGGGGGAUUCGCAAGAACCUCGCGUUUUCGGAGCGGCCGAUAUCGGAUUAGCUAGUAGGUGAGGUAAAGGCUCACCUAGGCGACGAUCCGUAGCUGGUCUGAGAGGACGACCAGCCACACUGGAACUGAGACACGGUCCAGACUCCUACGGGAGGCAGCAGUGGGGAAUUUUGGACAAAUGGGCGCAAGCCUGAUCCAGCCAUGCCGCGUGAGUGAAGAAGGCCU